CUUCGGUAGAUAGGAACUAGUUAUGUCAAAGUAGAGGUAAUUUAGAUCCCUUCAAACUGGAACUAGAUUGGCUAAAUUAUUUCUUGCUGUUUUACUUUAUGCAGCCCCAGGCUUAACCCUGCAUUAUUGUCUAAAAUAAUUUGCCACCUGUUAAUCUAGUAUUAUAUAAGCUUAUAUAGUUUAUUUAUUUAGUCUGGGAUAGUCAAAUAACGCCAAGUACCCUUAGCUACACUUUGGGCAACUCUUAUUGCAAGUAGUAUCUCUUUUAAGAGUUGACAACAAUUGCACUCGAAAUUAACUUAAUGAAGUGACAACUUCCAUGCCAGGUUAUGAACAAUUCAGAGAGACAAAAAAAAAAAACAUUUAAAAUGUAUUGUCAAACAAAAACAGAGCAAUACAUCAUUAAAGUAAUAAAAGGUCAAUUUUCAUAUUUUCACAUUUUUAUUUCUAUGAAAUAACUGAGUGUUUGGCAUACUGUACCCAAUUCCCUAAGGGUUACCCCCAUUUAAUUUCCUAGAACUAGUUUGAGCACUCUCUCUUUACCUGUUAAAAGAUGGCACAAAAAGAGGGAGAUCUGAUGUGAGAGGGAAUGGGAUCAAGGGAACAAGUCAUGGGACAAGAGGAAAGGAGAAGUGCAAACACCUUAUAUUCAGUAUCUGGUAUAAAGGUCUGAAGUUCUUAAUCCUAAUUAGGUUGAAAUAUUUUCCUUGGAGAAUUAUGAAGGUGGAGAAUAAAUCUUGUCAUUAAAAUAGCAAGCAAAGUUAUCAGCUGUAAUGUUAGCAUGGGGGGAGCAACAGCAAGGAGAAGUAAAGCGUUGAAGGAAUUAAAUGGACACUUGGAAUUGUGCAAGUAUGUACUAAUGACAUAGGAAACGCAUGAUUGUUUAGGUUUAAAACUUCCUCCAACAGCGUUCAGCUGACUUGUAGCAUCUUAGUAGUUAAUGGGUAGACAGACAGGAUUAUGAUUAUUCACUAAAAUUCGAAUGGCCCCCAUAAUGAUUGUGAAACCAUCUGGCUCAGCAGAGGGCCAUUUGAAUUGAAAAAUACAGACUUUGUUCAUGCUACUUAACAUAGUCCAUAUUUUGCAUAUCAGGUUCUGACUAAGCCUUUUUAAUUAGGUUUAAAUUUCAGUCGGACCAAACACUGCCGGACAUCUAAAAUCAGAACACUAUUAAGUAGGUUUUUAAAAAUCCUGUGCCCCUACCUGCCAUGUGGCACAUAGGGGAUAGCUGCAAACUUUACAAACUAGCAACUGGGCAGCUUUAAAAUAAAAAACUUUUGAUAAAGCCAGCUAUUCGGCGAAACAUGUUAAGUGCAUUUUAUACUAUUUUAUGCAAGUAUAUUUUACUUUUACAGUUUAGCUUUUUAUUUUUAUCAUUAAAAGUAUUUUUUAUGGGACCAUACUAAUCACUGCUGGAUUUUAUGGACAAUUAGAUCCUUGAUGGGUACAAAAAAACUACACCCAUUGGAUUGAGCAAUCCUCACUUGCUCCACAGAAUGGGAGAAUGGUUUUAUUCUACAGCUUAUAUUUUAGUUCUACAGUUACACACUAUUGUGUUUCUUUUGUUUUUUUUUCCUUCUAUAUCUACACACGGAGAGGCACGAGCACCUAUUAUAUCCUAGAGUGGGGAUCAUACCACUGCAAGCCAUAUCUGGGGAGCCAACAUUCUGGCUCCAUAUUACGUAAGUGCACAUCGUUGAUAUUGUUAUUCUCUCCUUUUUGGUUUGACAUACUACACCAUAUUGUCUCUGUUCUCCUUCUACAUAUCUAUGAAGAUAUCAUUGUAAAGAGAAAGACCACCCGCAGACCCGUGGACCACAGCAUAUCCCUAGGUGGGGAUUAUUCUGCCCAAGCGCUAAAGGUUGAAGCUACACCCAGGCUCCUAAAAAGUGUGAGUGGGCUAUCCCUUUUAAUCUUUUUAUCACUGUAUUUGACAUACUACACCAACAAUUUCUUUCUUUUAUUUUACAUAUUUGCAAGGACAUAGUAGUCGCUACACCACCCUUCUGUUUCUCCUCCUUCUGCACUAGACUAGAGAUGCUCUGGAUUUGGUGACUAAGCUGCCCUUGAACUAUACCAGUAUUUUACAAGCCCUGAAUCACCUAAAAUGAUUCCCCUGAGCGACCCGUAGUGAUGCCAGGAGCUGGAAUAUGACGUCAGUCCGGCUCCCGGCAUCAGUCUGCGGUGCACGAGGGAGCUGAGCAUAGAGAUCACCGCUAUCUCGCUGACAACUUAGAGCGCCUGCACGUCCGGCCGCCUUCCUGCCCAGCAACCCGGUCAGCAGCCCCACUGGACCCCAGGUGAAAAAUUCACCCAGCUAUCCCAAAAGUAGGGAGGCUGGGUGGAUUUAAAUUAAAAAAAAAUAAUAAUAAUUGUGAGUGCUGGGGGAAAAUGUGUCAGUAAAUGUGAGGAAGUGAGUGAGUGUGUGUGUCAGUGAAUGUGAGUGAGUGCAUGCAUCUGUCAGUGAGGAUUGCAUGCAUCUGUCAGUGAGUGUCUAAAUGUAUGUGUGUCAUAUUGUGUCAAAUCAGUGUGUGUGUGUGUAUGCCAGUGUAUCUGAAAGCAGGGCCGCCAUCAGGGCAUGACAACCGCAACGGUUGUCAUGGGCCCGGCGGUCCUGGCGGGCCCGGGCUGCUAAGGUCGUCCGGGCCCCACAUUCAGUUGGUACAUACCGGGUCGCAGGGGGCCCUGUGACCCCGGUAUGUACCCACUGGGCCAGCCUCUUCUCCUGGGGGGCCCAGCAGCCGGUCACCUCAGGGCCCCCCAGAGGCUGGCCCUGCUGACAACCGGCGGGUGGGCGGGCGCGUGAGGGAGCACUCUCUGAGGCUGGCCCUGCAUCAGUAUGGUGCGCGAGGGAGCUGAAGAGGAAGCACACAGAGGAAAGUGCUCCCUCGCGCGCCCGCCCGCCGGGGUCAGGGGGAAAUUUGAGUGAGUGGGAGGAGGGAGGAAAUUUGAGUGAGUGGGGGGGGAGAGGGAGGGAGGGAGGAAAUUUGGGGAGGAGGGGGGAGAGGGAGGGAAGGGAUUUGAGAGAGGGGAGAGGAAGGGAGGAAAUAUCGGGGGGGAGAGGGAGAGGAAGGGAGGAAAUUUGGAGGGAGGGAGAGAGGAAGGAAAUUUGGGAGGGGGGGAGAGGAAGGAGGAAAUUUGACUGAGGGAGAGGGAGGGAGGAGGAAGGGAGGAAAUGAGGAGGGAGGGGGGGAGAGGAAGGGAGGAAAUUUGAGGGAGGGGAGAGGAAGGAGGAAAUUUGAGGGGGGAGAGGAAGGAAAUUUGAGGGAGGGGAGGGAGAGGAAGGAAAUUUGAGGGAGGGGGGAGAGGAAGGAAAUUUGAGGGAGGAGGGGAGAGGAAGGAAAUGAGAGGGAGGGGGAGAGGAAGGAAAUGAGAGGGAGGGGGAGAAGAAGGAAAUGAGAGGGAGGGGGAGAAGAAGGAAAUUGGAGGGGGGGAGAAGGCAAUGAGAGGGAGGGGGAGAAGAAGGAAAUUGGAGAGAGGGGGAGAAGAAGGAAAUUGAAGGGGGGGGGAGAAGGAAAUUGACAGGGGAGAGAUUGACAUCCAACACACACACACACAAUGCACACCUUGCACACAGAAAACACACAAUGCACACAGACACACAUACACAAGCAAUGCAUCCCUUACACACAGCAACACACAAUGCACCUCUUACACACACUCAGUGCAUCCCUUACAGACGCACACACUGCAUCCCAUACAUACACAAACUCACCUUGCAGCCCUUACACAUACAAACAUAGAUUCACACAAUGCAUUCCUUAAACACAUCAGGACAUCCCCCCCCCCACACACACACCCCUGUGAACAAACUCAUUGGUGGAACAUGAAGGUGGAGCCUGGGACCCAGACCUUGAGCUGUGUAAAGGGCCCUCAAAAAAAUGGAGCUGCUUCCCGUUCUCCCAGAACAUUGAUUUUUGUGACCACAGUUACAAACCGCCUCCAGAGAGCCUGUUCUACACCAGACCAGUGGAGCCAGACGGCAGCUAGAGCCCAUCAUCAUCCUCAUCUGGUUGUAUGUAGGCAAUCUAGUAUAUUAUUCGUGGCACUAAUCUCUAAUUUACCUCACAUUAAAGGGACACUAUAGUCCCCAGAACCACUGCAGCUUAAUGUAGUGGUUCUGGUGUCUAUAGCCUGUCCCUGCAGGCCUUUUAUUGUAAACACGGCGGCACUGCGGCACUGUGUUAGUUAACAUGGCAGAUCAUAUGGGUGGGGCAUUGUGAUGUCACAUGGGGGGCGGCAAACUUUACUUUUGCCUGGGGCGGCAAAAAUCCUUGCAGACACUGCAUCCCUGUGUGCCGACUCGGGGGGGGGGGGACUCGGUGCAGGCACUGGGGGGCCCAGACCUUGAGCUGUGUCAGGGGCCCCAAAAUUUCUGAUGGAAGCCCUGUCUGAAAGUGUGUGCUGGUCCGUGAGUGUGUGUCAGUCAAAAUGUGUGUAAGUGAACAGGAAGAGGUGUGGCAUUGGCAGGAAGAGCCAGGUACAUUUAAAUUAGAGGUUGACCGAGACCGGUCAUGCCUAGGGCAGCACCAUUUCAAAAUACACCACUGAUUUACUGGACACACACUCACUGACAGACAUACACAAACUCACUAAUUGACAGAUACACACAGUCACUCACAUUCACUAACACACACACAUAUUUUCCCCCAACACUCACAAUUAUUUUAAAAAAAUUUAAAUCCACCCAGCCUCCCUACUUUUGGGAGAGCUGGGUGGCUUUUUUACCUGAGGUCCAGUGGGGCUGCUGGGCAGGAAAGGCCCCUCGAGCGCCGCAGAGUGAUGCCGGGAGCCAGACUGACAUCAUAUUCCAGCUCCCAGCAUUACUGCAGGUUGCGCAUGGGGGCUGAGCAGGAAAGCUCAGGGGAAAGUGCUCCCUCGCCACCCAGGAAACAACUGGCCGCCUACCCCGGAUGGCCAGCACACAAAAUGAGGCAAACAAGGCAUCAGUCUGGGCAUUUGGGGGUGGCAUUUUUUGCUGCCCCCUUGCAACUGCUGCCCAAGGCAAAUGCCUUGUUUGCCUUACGGUAGAUAAAGCCCUGGCCCUGCCUAUCCCCUACUUAAUACAUAGGAUGAAAAGAGACAUGUGUCCAUCAAGUUCAUCUUUUCUCACAUGUGUUUUUGCUGUUAAUUCAAAAGAAGGCAAAACAACAGUUUGAUGCACUUUCUAAUUUUGCAACAAACUAGGAAAAAAAUAAUUCUUGACCCCAGAAUGGCAGUCAGAUCUCCCCUUGUAUCAAGAAACUGUUACCGCACAUGUAAAAGAUUACAUAAAAUAAAAACAAUACCGCACUCCAUAAGUUAUGCAAAAAAGUUAGUUUUCUUCAUAUAGCAUUCAUUCAAUGAUCAGGUCUGAAGGUAUAGAAACAAAUAUACAUGAGCAUGAAAACCCCUAUGUGACAAGACCAAUCUCGCCACAUUGCAUUGGAGAAGCCUGGUUGCUAGCCUGUUGCCUUUGGAUUAUGGCCCCAUGUUAAAAGGCUUGAUUUUCCCCUGCAAAGACAUGAAAACCGGGUCAUUUGGUGCUUUCCCUGUUUGAGCGGUGAUACCCCAGAUAGCUAUGCCAUGGAGCCCAUUAGUAUAAUGAAAGACUAUGGGAAAGACUUUGGCUCCAUGGCAAUUGAACUGUAUGUGUGUGCUCUGAGCGCCAUUCAGUAAUAAUGUGCGCUCAGAUCUGAGCUAUCUGGGGAUAUGUUGAAUGUACCUGUUUUGUGCAAUGGCUGCACAGUUAUGUGUUUUUAUGUGUUUUAUUGUCUUUUGCUGCCAUGUGUUCAAUGGAGUUUUGCCUCUGUCCUUGGAGAUAAUUGGAUUACUUCACAAUUAUCUCCAGGAUAGAAGACUCUGUGGAACUGGUUUUGGGCAGAAAAGCCAUGCUUCCUUUGGUCACAAAGGACUACGCUCUAUCUUUUGAACCACUGGACCAAUUUGUAUGAUUUUGACGUAUGUUUGUAUUUGGAGUAUGCUGAUUCUGAAAAUGUUUUAUGUGAAAAUUAUGUGAAUGUGAUGCAUACUUUUCAAGUUAUGAAUAAUGUGGAAAAAUUGUAUUUCUCUGCUUGUUAUAAUUACAUUACCCAUUGUGUAAGGUAAUUGAAUCACAGGCAGAUGGGAGGAUGUUGUGUGGGAGUGUCUGAGUGUAUUGUAUGUGUUUAUUGGUUGUGUUCCAAAACCCUGUGGGUGGUACUAAUGUGUAUAUAAGAACAAUAAACCCACAGCUCUGACUGUUCACUGCUUGACCCUCAACACGGAGCUUUGUCUCGUUCUUGGGGGGAUUUAUUGUGUGCUGUUCCAGUUUGACUGCUAGGAGUGUAAACCUAUUUGUAUGUUUUUUCCUAUUCGGCUGUUUACGGCAUUCAUAUGGUUUCCUGUUCGGCGGAUUGGUGUUCUGCAGUAGCUGUGCCUGUGUCUCUGGAAGGGAAGAUCUACUAAAUGGCGGUUUAACCCUUUUAUGCCUGGGGGUGCUGUUACACCCUAUGCAUAGAGUAUAUAUAUUUAUAUUUGGCCUGAAUUUGUGGGAGGAGUUAUGAUCCUAUAUAAACCCUACCCCCCUACUUACCUUUGUCGUGCAAGCUGUUUGUCGUCUCCAUAGUUACCUGCACUUCCGGUUCGUCGUUCCCGCCAAGUCCUGUCUCAAGCUGUCUCCAGCAAGCAGUCCGUCGCCAGCAGCUCCUGCCUACGUCUUCCGUGCCCGUCCACCGGCUUCUACCCGACAUCCG
This 6713-nucleotide long non-coding RNA is filed under the name Pelobates cultripes (western spadefoot toad). The record is from RNAcentral. Lineage: Eukaryota; Metazoa; Chordata; Amphibia; Anura; Pelobatidae.